Molecule: ribosomal RNA, 588 nt
Filed under: Scopulariopsis brevicaulis (arsenic fungus)
Lineage: Eukaryota; Fungi; Ascomycota; Sordariomycetes; Microascales; Microascaceae
Description: eukaryotic LSU rRNA
Rfam family: Eukaryotic large subunit ribosomal RNA
Source: RNAcentral
CAUAUCAAUAAGCGGAGGAAAAGAAACCAACAGGGAUUGCCUUAGUAACGGCGAGUGAAGCGGCAACAGCUCAAAUUUGAAAUCUGGUCCCCUUUGGGGGCCCGAGUUGUAAUUUGAAGAGGAUGCUUUUGGCGAGGCGCCGUCCGAGUUCCCUGGAACGGGACGCCGCAGAGGGUGAGAGCCCCGUACGGUCGGACGCCGAGCCUCUGUAAAGCUCCUUCGACGAGUCGAGUAGUUUGGGAAUGCUGCUCAAAAUGGGAGGUAAACCCCUUCUAAAGCUAAAUACUGGCCAGAGACCGAUAGCGCACAAGUAGAGUGAUCGAAAGAUGAAAAGCACUUUGAAAAGAGAGUUAAAAAGCACGUGAAAUUGUUAAAAGGGAAGCGCUUGCGACCAGACUUGCGCCCGUCGGAUCAACCGUCGCUUGCGGCGGCGCACUCCGGCGGGCUCAGGCCAGCAUCAGUUCGUCCGGGGGGAGAAAGGCGGCGGGAAUGUGGCUCUUCGGAGUGUUAUAGCCCGCCGUGUAAUACCCUCGGGUGGACUGAGGACCGCGCGUAUGCAAGGAUGCUGGCGUAAUGGUCGUCAGCGAC